CCCAACUAUCCCUAUUAAUCAUUACGUCAAUCCUAGAAACCAACAAAAUAGAAUCAUGCCGUCCUAUUUUAUUAUUCCAUGCUAAUGUAUUCAAGCAAAAAUGCCUGCUUUAAACACUCUAAUUUUUUCAAAGUAAAGGUCCUGGUUCCUCGUGGCACCCAAUUAAGGACAUCACGGUUCUCCAGAAGGUGAGAAAUUCACUACACCAGUUCAUACCCCUUAAGGCACGACCGAUGUGCAAAUCCCGAAAUUCAACUACGAGCUUUUUAACUGCAACAACUUUAAUAUACGCUAUUGGAGCUGGAAUUACCGCGGCUGCUGGCACCAGACUUGCCCUCCAA
This 341-nucleotide unclassified non-coding RNA is filed under the name uncultured Glomerales. RNAcentral's name for it is "sequence contains 18S rRNA gene". The record is from RNAcentral. Lineage: Eukaryota; Fungi; Glomeromycota; Glomeromycetes; Glomerales; Glomeraceae.